This 761-nucleotide ribosomal RNA is filed under the name bacterium. Its description in RNAcentral is "bacterial SSU rRNA". It matches the Rfam family "Bacterial small subunit ribosomal RNA", at positions 51 to 791 of the family's 1533-position model. The record is from RNAcentral.
CUAUAAUGCAAGUCGAGCGAAUGGAUUAAGAGCUUGCUCUUAUGAAGUUAGCGGCGGACGGGUGAGUAACACGUGGGUAACCUGCCCAUAAGACUGGGAUAACUCCGGGAAACCGGGGCUAAUACCGGAUAACAUUUUGAACCGCAUGGUUCGAAAUUGAAAGGCGGCUUCGGCUGUCACUUAUGGAUGGACCCGCGUCGCAUUAGCUAGUUGGUGAGGUAACGGCUCACCAAGGCAACGAUGCGUAGCCGACCUGAGAGGGUGAUCGGCCACACUGGGACUGAGACACGGCCCAGACUCCUACGGGAGGCAGCAGUAGGGAAUCUUCCGCAAUGGACGAAAGUCUGACGGAGCAACGCCGCGUGAGUGAUGAAGGCUUUCGGGUCGUAAAACUCUGUUGUUAGGGAAGAACAAGUGCUAGUUGAAUAAGCUGGCACCUUGACGGUACCUAACCAGAAAGCCACGGCUAACUACGUGCCAGCAGCCGCGGUAAUACGUAGGUGGCAAGCGUUAUCCGGAAUUAUUGGGCGUAAAGCGCGCGCAGGUGGUUUCUUAAGUCUGAUGUGAAAGCCCACGGCUCAACCGUGGAGGGUCAUUGGAAACUGGGAGACUUGAGUGCAGACCACGAACGUGCAAUUCUACGUGUACCGUUGACCUNUCCCNNACCCCUNUAGGAACACCAGCCCUUAAUGCCACUUUCUUGUCCNNUCCUCACACUCCCUCUCUCAAGCGUGGGGCGCAAACCCUCUUAUCCCCUCCCU